GAAGUGAUGGAAUUACAGAUUCACAAUUUAUGGUGAAUAACUUACAAGCAAAUAAUUAAAGAUCUACAAAAGUAAAUUCAUUGAUGGAUUGAAUUGGGUUGUCCACAAAAAAAGGAAAAUCAAAGGUAACACUCUGAGAAAAUAUUAGUACUUACAAAUCUAUAAGACAAAUAUUAAUGAAACUUCAUGGUCCAAGAUUGUUUGUACUUCUAUUUGCCUGAAAG
RNAcentral lists this long non-coding RNA (224 nucleotides) under Papio anubis (olive baboon). RNAcentral's name for it is "lncRNA (ENSPANG00000045974.1)". The record is from RNAcentral. Lineage: Eukaryota; Metazoa; Chordata; Mammalia; Primates; Cercopithecidae.